AUAAUUCAUUUUGAUCAGAAGUGUGACAACUUGCUGGUGAAUCUCAAUGAUCCAUCUCGUCCCAUAUGCAAGGUUGCUGAUUUUGGUUUGUCCAAGGUGAAACAAACAACAAUGGUCUCUGGAGGAAUGAGGGGAACCCUUCCAUGAUGGCUCCUGAACUGCUUGAAAUGAGCAGCAAUAAGGUAUCAACCAAGGUUGUUGACGAAGUGGUAGCACUGCUGCAUUCUGGUCUCAACACGACCUUCUCCGGCUUCCAUGAUAUAGCCGCCAGGACGGACUCACUUCUUUUUUACCAAGUCUUCCUUUGCUUAUGGAUCAUUUCUAUCCUUGGCAGUCUUAC
Phragmites australis (common reed) is the source of this 340-nucleotide long non-coding RNA. RefSeq lists it as uncharacterized. The record is from RefSeq and is a predicted model, not a curated record. Lineage: Eukaryota; Viridiplantae; Streptophyta; Magnoliopsida; Poales; Poaceae. The transcript is spliced from 3 exons.